GUGCCAGCCGCCGCGGUAAUACCGGCAGCACAAGUGAUGGCCGAUCUUAUUGGGCCUAAAGCGUCCGUAGCCGGCCGGACAAGUCCGUUGGGAAAUCCACGCGCUCAACGCGUGGGCGUCCAGCGGAAACUGUCCGGCUUGGGGCCGGAGGACUCGAGGGGUACGUCCGGGGUAGGAGUGAAAUCCCGUAAUCCUGGACGGACCACCGGUGGCGAAAGCGCCUCGAGAGGACGGACCCGACGGUGAGGAACGAAAGCCAGGGUCUCCAACCGGAUUAGAUACCCGGGUAGUCC
RNAcentral lists this ribosomal RNA (293 nucleotides) under uncultured bacterium. RNAcentral's name for it is "partial 16S ribosomal RNA". It matches the Rfam family "Archaeal small subunit ribosomal RNA", at positions 455 to 747 of the family's 1478-position model. The record is from RNAcentral.